This 417-nucleotide ribosomal RNA is filed under the name uncultured bacterium. RNAcentral describes it as "partial 16S ribosomal RNA". It matches the Rfam family "Bacterial small subunit ribosomal RNA", at positions 360 to 774 of the family's 1533-position model. The record is from RNAcentral.
AAUAUUGGUCAAUGGAGGGAACUCUGAACCAGCCAUGCCGCGUGCAGGACGAAGGCCCUACGGGUCGUAAACUGCUUUUGCCGGGGAACAACCGUCCCGACGUGUCGGGACCUGAGUGUAACCGGAGAAUAAGGAUCGGCUAACUCUGUGCCAGCAGCCGCGGUAACACGGAGGAUCCGAGCGUUAUCCGGCUUUAUUGGGUUGCAAGGGGGCGUAGGCGUCUUUCGAAGGCAGGGGUGAAAUACAGAGGCUCAACCGUUGCAGUGCCUUUGAUACUGGGGGGCAUGAAUGUGGUCGAAGGCGGCGGAAUGGGAAAAGUAGCGGUGAAAUGCAAAGAUAUGUCCCAGAACCCCGAUAGCGAAGGUAGCUGCCUAGGCCAUAAUUGACGCUGAUGCACGAAAGCGUGGGGAUCGAACA